AAUGAUCCACCUCCUUCUUAAGAUGUUAGAGUUCUGAACAAUAUUUUAAACUUUCUUAAAAAUUCAAAUUCUGCAGUUAUAUUUUUUUUUGUCUUUGACAUUUUGAAAAAAAAAAAAAAAUUAAGUUUUCUAGAUCAGAUUUACAAACAGGUGAAAAUCUUUUAUUUGGAUUUACCUCAAGAAUCACAUUAGAGUUGGGAGACGAACGGUGACUAAUUGGGUCAAAUGCAAAUGACAAACACCUGUGUCUUGUUCCAGUAAUUGGCAUGGACAGACCACAUAAAGAGCCCAGGAGUGAGCUAGGAGAGAGAGGGAGACCAUGCCUGAUCUGGAGAGCGCUGUGCUAUACUGAGCGCUGUCAUUUCGUCCAGGUUUGGGGUGUCCACAUCUUGGUCGUAGCCCCACCUGAACCCAUCAAAGCUGAUUAGUAGUUGUCUGUGGUGCAACGAUCUCUGACUGGAGCAGAAAGAGUCACAGGGAAAAUAUGCAGCAAAACACUCAGUGCCAACAACAUGACAGUUCUUACCUAGCACAGAUUCUUUGGAUACCCAACUUGACCAACACUAAACAGCUUGAACAUUCCUGCUGGUCAUUUUGGCAUGGAAUCCUGCAGUUUAGUUCUUUAACCACCAAGUUAUGCAUGGUCAUUGCUGACAAAAUCCAUUGUUUGUAACCACACAAAAUUAUGCAUAUUCUUUGGUUUAUUUGAUUUUGAAAUGAUGCACAUUUGAAAUUGUAAGUAUGUGGCCUAAAGGAAUGUCUGUGUUAUGAGUACUGUAUGGUAAUGCAUUUGAGUGAGAGUUUCAUGUUCUUAAUCUAAUUUAGGGUAAUCUAAAUUGUGGUUCAGACUUGCACAAUAAUUGGGAGCAAUUUUGUACUGUUUUUCUUAAUAAAACUCUGAUGUGAUCUCUGUUCUUUUGUUGACAUUGCGUAGCAUUUCAAUUAUAGUUAGAAGUCAAGACCUAAACUGGGACGGUCUAUGGUGUUUUUCUCUGUUUGAGGCCUUUCUUUUUGACAUAAUUUGCUCAUCUGUGAUGUCUUCCAUUAUGUUGAAAGUAAAUGUAAAAGUUAUGUUAUUAUGCAGGUUAUGCUGCUUUUAUGAUGAUUCUUUCACUCUUAAAAAAAUAAUAAAAUAAUAAUCACAGUAUUCCAAUGCUGUUUCUUUAAAUUAUAUUAGAUAAGCACCUAUAAAGAUAUGUUUUUGUUUUAAAACUUAAUUUACAAGAAGUUCAGUCCCAUAACAUUUGCAGUCCAGUUUCUUUUCUGGUAUGACGCAGAGCUGUCUGACACACAUAUAUGCUUUGCAUCAGCUUGAAUUUUUCA
RNAcentral lists this long non-coding RNA (1323 nucleotides) under Carassius auratus (goldfish). RNAcentral's name for it is "lncRNA (ENSCARG00000049526.1)". Lineage: Eukaryota; Metazoa; Chordata; Actinopteri; Cypriniformes; Cyprinidae. The record is from RNAcentral.